Molecule: long non-coding RNA, 3709 nt
Filed under: Homo sapiens (human)
Lineage: Eukaryota; Metazoa; Chordata; Mammalia; Primates; Hominidae
Description: HSALNT0363833
Source: RNAcentral
CGCUGGCAUUACUGGACUUGGGGGCGGAGGGACUCAAGGAUGGCCUCAAUUGCGUCUGUCAAGCCGGGGUGAAACCUGGGGCGUUGCUUCUUUUUUUCCCAGUCUAAUUGGUUCUUUUACUACCAACGGGCAGAGUCUCCUGGUGGAGGCGGAAGGGCCAUUGCAAGAGAGAGCCACCACGCAGGAUGCACUGGGACCUGAGAACCGUCGGGCAGUCCCACGAGCUCUUUCAUGACCAGCUCCAACCGACAAGUACACGCCCCUUCGCACUCCACUAGCUAGUAAGCUGAGCUACAAGGUGUGCCAGGCACCCAGGACGCCGAUUCACCGCUUCAGUGAAGGCCCAGCUCAAAUGCCACCUCUUCCAUGAAGACUUCCGUGAUCCACAAUGAUAGCAUCUCCAGCAAUUGCUUCUAUAAUGAAUAGCAUGAGUCAUUCUGCAGGAUGUUGAUCUUCCUUUUUUUACUCCUAGACUGAAUUUUUCCACCACCUGGAUGAACAUAGCAGAAAGAACAUAGUGUUUUAGAGUCAGACACAAUAGGAAUCAGGCACUUUGGAAUCUUGGCUCUACCACCUUUGAGCUAUGUAUCCCAAGAGCCCUCUUUCUUCCAUUCACUUACCUGUCUAGUCAAACACCCAUCAGACCUUUGCCAGGUGUCCAGCCUGGGCACUACGUUUCAGAAAAUGAUGCACAUAGAAUCCCUAACUGAAAGGAGAUCGCAGCUCAUUUGGUACAAAGUGGUAACGGCAGAGUCCCAAAACACAUGAAGCAAGAACUGACAGAACUGGAGGGAGACAUCAAUCAAUAACAACAGUUGGAGAAUUCAAUACCCUGCUCUGAAUAAUGGAUAGAACAAUUAGGCAGAAGACCAACAAAGAAAGAGGAUAUUUGAACAACGUGAUAAGCCAAUUUGACCUAAUAAAUAUCUUUAUCUGUGAAACACCCUAGCUUUUAGCCUGGGUAAGGAGCUGGAGAGAUGUGAAAAUGUGGAAAGCAAGCCUAAGUCGCAGUGUGGCCUAUGCCUGAGAGCCAUCUUCAGUGCCCCCUUGUGGCUGUAUCUGGGAACCACAGACAGAAUCAUGGAACUGACCAUCUUCAGUCUCAAAGUGCUGCCCUCACCACUACACCCAGGGGCAGGUGGUCUUCGGGGGAAAGGCGGUUCCAGUUCCUUCUCCCAAGGUAACAACUCCCAUCCCAAGGCAAUGUUCACAGAACCUAUCAGAGUCCCCCCUGCCCUAUGCACAGCUUAAGACCAGGGUGGUCUCAGCUCUGAUCAGGCCACUGAGGGCAUCUGUCUGAGAUUUGGGACCCAGUUAUUGUCCCUGUUCUUCUUAGGCAGAUGGCGGAGUUCCCCAGUACACAGAAGGUGCUCACUCUUCACAAAAAGCAGUGCUUGAGAAUAACAGCCUACCUUGGUGGAGUAGCUUCGUUAGGGCCAGGGCUUGACUUGAAGCCAGAGACUGAGGUUGCAGUCCAGCCUUGGGUCAGCCUCAGGCUGGGGCUGGGGUGAUGCUGAGACCCUCACCAGAAAAAAGGCCUUUACCCCAUCCGAAAGGAAAUGGCUAUCCUCUGACCUGAGCACUCUAGCCUGAGGCCUGCCUGGCGCUAGAAGCCAGCCUCUGUUGUCCCCUCCCAGCACUCCUCCCACUGCUCUGCCUUUCUGCCCACAUAGAAACUCUGGAGACACCAGCUCCCCACCCUUCCAAGCUAAGCCCCACUGCUGUCUCUGCCUCCUCCAUCUUUCAAACCGGCAAUGUUUUUCCAAUCAGGCCUCCCUAUCCUUCCCCUACUGCUCUGCCCUUCACUGCCUUCCUUUCCUGGCGACUCUCAGCCGCCCUUCAAGGCCCAGCUCAGGCGUUCUUUCCUCAGUGACGCACCCCCGGGCAGGCUGGGGCUUCUGGCACAGCUCUGGCCACCCUGCGUAUCUUCAGCUGUUCCCAAUGUUUGUCUCUGCUCCCAAGUAGCUCUCUCACAGUUUCUGGCACAGAGGAGUUGGCCCUGAGGGGGAUGAACAGCAAGGACAGGCAGGACAGUUCUGGCAGUAAGGAAGUUAGAACAAGGUCCUUUGGUCUCGGCUAGGAAGGGUUCCCAGGUGCUUAGUACUCACUGAACAGAAAGGAAUUAGAAAAGAGGUGGCAUCUUGUAAUCGCUAGGGUGACAGCAGGCCAGGCCUCUGCCUUUUUGGUAGAGCUGAGGCCAGGGGCAGGGAACACAGCUUGAGUGACCCAUAAGGAGCCUUCCAGCUCAGCCACCCAAGGGCCCCCCAGCUGGACAGGAGCCCUUUACCACAUGGUAGGCAUCAUGUCAAGUGGCUCCCAAUGACCCCUGCCCCCUGGCAUCCAUUCCCUGGUGUAAUCCCCUCCCGUCCAGUGGGAGCUGGACCGAGCAAUGUUCAUUUAAUGAACAGAAUAUGGCAAAAGUGACAGGAUAUCACUUCCCAGGUUAGGUUAUAAGGGCCUGGGACUUCCGUCUUGCUCGCACACUUCACUCCACUCACUGGCUCUUCUUGCUAAGUAAGCUGGUGUGCCGUGAGCUACCCCAUGGAAAGGCCCAUGUGGCAAGGAACUGAAAGUGGCCUCUGUCAACAGCCAGUGAGGAAGUCAAUCCUGCGAACAACUGCAGGAACGGCCUUGGGAGUGGAUCCUUCCUCAGCCCGGCUCCAAGACAACUGCAGCCCUGUGAGAAACCCUGAGUGGAGGACCAAGCCAAGCCUCAAAUCGUGACUUGGAACUGGGAGACAACAGAUGCUGUUGGAAGCCACUGAGCUCUGAAGUAGUUUGUUACACAGUGACAGGUAACUUACACACCAUGGCAGGGUCAUGUGGGCCAAAGGUGCAAGGGGCUAGAGGGCUCAGAGGGCAGCCAGCUGGGGACCCAGUCUUCCCCAGGUGUCAGCAGCAGAUGCAGAUGCAGCCCCAGCAAUAACUCAUAGAGGAUUCUCACUUUCAUUUAUUUUCAAGGCAUAUACAAAAGUCUGACAUGGUGCAAUGAUCUCAUCAAGAGAUAACAGAACACACAGGAGAGGGUUGGGUUUCCUCCCCGGCCCAACCCCCUCAGGAAGGCACAGAAAAGUGAGGCUUGGGUUCGGGGGCCACCUGCUUUGGAACUAAUCUGCUGCUCAGAAGGCCAGGCCCCUUCUGAAGAGGGAUCUCUUCCUCACAUCCAGAAUCUAGGAUCUGGGGAAGGUAAACUGAGGCCACCAGUAAGCAUGUGCUCCAGGCCAAGGCUGAGUCUGUGCUGCAUCCAUGUCAUCAGCCACCCAAGAAAAACCAGUUACUCCACCUAGCUCAUGGUGGCGGCAUCCUCCCUGCAAUGGUGCAUGGGGGGCAGUCCUUUCCCCUGCAGGGUGUCAUUGCCACCCCCAUCCUCAUCCUGGAGGCCAGUCCAGGCUCCGAUAUGAGUGACUAGGGGUGAGGUAGGGGUGGCAGAAGGGAGAUCAAACUGGAGCAUUCCAGAUGCCUACUACUGCCCUCACACAACGGGGCAACUGUGCUCUCCAACUCCUCCCCUUGGCAGAGAAACUGGUCCUGCAGUUUCAGGACUAGACGAGCGUGGGGUAGUGGCAAUAAAGGGGCUUGUAUGAGAAGUGGCUUUCGCCUCUCAUCCCUAGGGGCAAAAAGUGAAUCAUCUAACUGGUCCAAGUCACUAAUGGCAAUCCUUCUUCCCCAAGAAGACUGAGUUUCCUUUGUCACUUCAGGAAGGGAAGAA